GAUGAACGCUCGCUACAGGCUUAACACAUGCAAGUCGAGGGGAAACGACAUCGAAAGCUUGCUUUUGAUGGGCGUCGACCGGCGCACGGGUGAGUAACGCGUAUCCAACCUGCCCAUCACUUGGGAAUAACCUUGCGAAAGUAAGACUAAUACCCAAUGACAUCCCACGAAGACAUCUGAAUGGGAUUAAAGAUUUAUCGGUGAUGGAUGGGGAUGCGUCUGAUUAGCUUGUUGGCGGGGUAACGGCCCACCAAGGCAACGAUCAGUAGGGGUUCUGAGAGGAAGGUCCCCCACAUUGGAACUGAGACACGGUCCAAACUCCUACGGGAGGCAGCAGUGAGGAAUAUUGGUCAAUGGGCGAGAGCCUGAACCAGCCAAGUAGCGUGCAGGAUGACGGCCCUAUGGGUUGUAAACUGCUUUUAUAAGGGAAUAAAGUGGGUCUCGGGAGACUUUUUGCAUGUACCUUAUGAAUAAGGACCGGCUAAUUCCGUG
RNAcentral lists this ribosomal RNA (492 nucleotides) under uncultured bacterium. Its description in RNAcentral is "partial 16S ribosomal RNA". It matches the Rfam family "Bacterial small subunit ribosomal RNA", at positions 28 to 507 of the family's 1533-position model. The record is from RNAcentral.